RNAcentral lists this unclassified non-coding RNA (314 nucleotides) under plant metagenome. RNAcentral's name for it is "partial contains 5.8S ribosomal RNA, internal transcribed spacer 2, and large subunit ribosomal RNA". The stretch from base 1 to 105 matches the Rfam family "5.8S ribosomal RNA", at positions 50 to 154 of the family's 154-position model. The record is from RNAcentral.
GAAAUGCGAUAAUUAAUGUGAAUUGCAGAAUUCAGUGAAUCAUCGAGUCUUUGAACGCACAUUGCGUCCCCUGGUAUUCCGGGGGGCAUGCCUGUCCGAGCGUCAUUGCUGCCCUCAAGCACGGCUUGUGUGUUGGGCUUCCGUCCCUGGCAACGGGGACGGGCCCAAAAGGCAGUGGCGGCACCAUGUCUGGUCCUCGAGCGUAUGGGGCUUUGUCACCCGCUCCCGUAGGUCCAGCUGGCAGCUAGCCUCGCAACCAAUCUUUUUAACCAGGUUGACCUCGGAUCAGGUAGGGAUACCCGCUGAACUUAAGC